Molecule: ribosomal RNA, 453 nt
Filed under: uncultured bacterium
Lineage: Bacteria
Description: bacterial SSU rRNA
Rfam family: Bacterial small subunit ribosomal RNA
Source: RNAcentral
AGAACGCUAGCGGGAGCUUAACACAUGCAAGUCGAGGGGUAAGGAGAUAGCAAUAUUUCCCUAGACCGGCGCACGGGUGAGUAACGCGUAUGCAACCUGCCCUUUACAGGGGGAUAGCCCGGAGAAAUCCGGAUUAAUACCCCAUAGACCUGCAGAUCCGCAUGGAUUCACAGGUAAAGCUUCGGCGGUAAAGGAUGGGCAUGCGUGACAUUAGCUGGUUGGCGGGGUAACGGCCCACCAAGGCUACGAUGUCUAGGGGUUCUGAGAGGAAGGUCCCCCACACUGGUACUGAGACACGGACCAGACUCCUACGGGAGGCAGCAGUGAGGAAUAUUGGUCAAUGGGCGAGAGCCUGAACCAGCCAUCCCGCGUGCAGGAAGAAGGCCCUAUGGGUUGUAAACUGCUUUUGUGCAUGAAGAAUGGUACCCUCGUGAGGGUAUUUGACGGUAAUGC